GAUGGCAGAGGUUGCUACAAGACCUUAUAAGCCGAGAAGGCCCGUUUCUCGAAACAGCUUGUGUGCCAAUUGCUGGUUUGGCCAUCCUUUUCUGGCCUCUUGCCGUUGUGGCGAGCAUUCUGUUGUCUGUUCUCUCUAGCAUUUUCAUUGGACUCUAUGGUUCAGUUGUUGUAUUCCAGGAGAGAUCUUUCCGACGAGGAAUUGCUUAUGUGGUUGCCAUGGUUUCUGAGUUUG
Molecule: unclassified non-coding RNA, 234 nt
Filed under: Hevea brasiliensis (rubber tree)
Lineage: Eukaryota; Viridiplantae; Streptophyta; Magnoliopsida; Malpighiales; Euphorbiaceae
Source: RNAcentral